UCCUGGUCAGCUCAGUUGGUAGAGCGCUCCAGUGGAAACGGAGAGGUCUUUGGUUCGAUACCAAGACCAGGCG
Molecule: transfer RNA, 73 nt
Filed under: Ixodes scapularis (black-legged tick)
Lineage: Eukaryota; Metazoa; Arthropoda; Arachnida; Ixodida; Ixodidae
Rfam family: tRNA
About the family: Transfer RNA (tRNA) molecules are approximately 80 nucleotides in length. Their secondary structure includes four short double-helical elements and three loops (D, anti-codon, and T loops).
Source: Rfam by way of RNAcentral